GUAGGUGAACCUGCGGAAGGAUCAUUACAGUGUUCGCUGCCCUCCGGGGUAGCAAACCUCACCCUUGCGUAUUAUAUCUUCGUUGCUUCGGCGCGCCGCCUCUUAGGCACUGGCUCCGGCUAGCUCGCGCGCGCCAAAGGACCCUAAACUCUGAAUGUUAGUGUCGUCUGAGUACUAUCUAAUAGUUAAAACUUUCAACAACGGAUCUCUUGGUUCUGGCAUCGAUGAAGAACGCAGCAUCUGACUGACU
This 250-nucleotide unclassified non-coding RNA is filed under the name plant metagenome. RNAcentral describes it as "partial contains small subunit ribosomal RNA, internal transcribed spacer 1, and 5.8S ribosomal RNA". The record is from RNAcentral.